GUAUUUAUCUCUGCAAUUUUUUGGUAGGACACGACACUGCUGGUUUUGUCGUGCUCCGCAUUGUCCAGUUACGCUUAUGCAUAGGUUUAUUUAUGGUAUUCUAUUGGAUAUGCAUAUGCUGAUGUACAAUAGGAAUGUCUCCAUGUUGUGCCAUGUUUUUUAUGCACAUAGAAUAUCUGUAUGUCUUAUUAUAGCCUCUAAUUAAAAGUUACUGAUUCACUAGGAAAAUCCACUGAAGGAAUCGGCCCCCUUUCUCUAGGAGCCCAUUUCCAGUGGUCAUCCUACAAUGAGCCUGAAAAACAACCGCACAUAUCAUGACUCCAAGAUGAUAUAUCCUGACCUGGACGUUGCAUAAGAAAAAGGAAAUGUAACCACCUUUUUUUUCUUAGCUUAUGAGAGAAGAUAGUUAUAGUAGUAGCAUUCAGGUUUCAUCAAUGUGGAGUCAAAAAAAGCAGUCACAAGCACAUGACGACCCUACAUCAUAUUUCCACCAUUUUCUAAGUAAGAAAACAAUUUUCUACUAUUUUAUCAUUGGUUAUCGUCCGUGCAAUUUUACUAGUUUCCUUGGUCUGAAAGCCUUACCAUCAUUUUCUUCUUGCACGCGGUAAUGGCAAGAGCAUAUUGUGUAGAGGAAGAGGAUGAGUAGAAACUUGUGGUGCUCAUCCAAUCUUCAUGGAACUCUCUUUAUGUGUGAUUGUGCACUUGUUGGGUCCUUUUUUCGUGCGCUUGCACUUGUAGAAGUAUUCUGUUGUGUACAUGUAAAAUUAUUUUGAUGUGCCCUUGUUAGACGUUGAAACUUAAUGCAUGGAGUUGGUGGAUGAUGUAAUGUAUUUGAUGUGAUAUGCUACUGAAAUGAAAUAUACAUUUUGUUUGCAA
This is a long non-coding RNA of Hordeum vulgare subsp. vulgare (domesticated barley), 876 nucleotides long. RefSeq lists it as uncharacterized. NCBI's taxonomy places the organism in Eukaryota, Viridiplantae, Streptophyta, Magnoliopsida, Poales, Poaceae. The transcript is spliced from 2 exons. The record is from RefSeq and is a predicted model, not a curated record.